AGUGAACGCUGGCGGCGUGCCUAAUACAUGCAAGUCGAACGGAGUGGCGCACGGGGGAGUAAUGUAUAGAUAAUCUGCCCGACAAUAGAGGACAACAGUUGGGAAAGACUGUUAAUACUCUAUAGUGUAGGUUGAGGCUAUAUUGUCUCAGCUAGUUGGUGAGGUAAUGGCUCACUAAGGCUAUGACGCAUAACUGGUCUGUGAGGAUGAUGAGUCACAACCGAACGGAGACACGGUCCAGAAUCCUACGGGAAGGAGCAGUAGGGAAUAUUGCUAAAUGGGGGUAACCCUGAAGCGGCAACGCCGCGUGGAGGAUGACACUUUGCGGAGCGUAAACUCGUUUUUAUAUGUAAGCGGUACCUAACGAAUAAGCACCGGCUAACUCCGUGCCAGCAGCCGCGGUAAUUC
RNAcentral lists this ribosomal RNA (408 nucleotides) under uncultured bacterium. RNAcentral describes it as "partial 16S ribosomal RNA". It matches the Rfam family "Bacterial small subunit ribosomal RNA", at positions 29 to 526 of the family's 1533-position model. The record is from RNAcentral.